Molecule: unclassified non-coding RNA, 200 nt
Filed under: Capnodiales sp.
Lineage: Eukaryota; Fungi; Ascomycota; Dothideomycetes; Capnodiales
Description: partial internal transcribed spacer 2
Source: RNAcentral
UUAAGUUCAGCGGGUAUUCCUACCCGAUCCGAGGUCAAACUUGUGUUCGGUUCACGACCGAUGCGAACGCGUAAGGCAGGCCGUGCGAGCUGCGCGCCAGUAAGUAGUUACGGCACCUGCUACUGCACUCCUAAUAGCCGACGCAUUUGAGGUCCGGGUUGGUCCCGGAGCCCAAUACCAAGCCAGGCUUGAGGGUUUUA